GGUAGCGUGUCCGAGCGGCCGAAGGUGCAGCACUCGAAAUGCUGUGUGGUUAACAGCCACCGUGGGUUCAAAUCCCACCGCUACCG
Molecule: transfer RNA, 86 nt
Filed under: Bowdeniella nasicola
Lineage: Bacteria; Bacillati; Actinomycetota; Actinomycetes; Actinomycetales; Actinomycetaceae
Also listed under: 1 other name
Description: Actinomyces nasicola tRNA_Ser_CGA
Rfam family: tRNA
About the family: Transfer RNA (tRNA) molecules are approximately 80 nucleotides in length.
Source: RNAcentral